AUCAGUGCUUAGGACACCCUGAACAUGCCCGAUCUCGUCUGAUCUCGGAAGCUAAGCAGGGUCGGGCCUGGUUAGUAUUUGGAUGGGAGACCACCUAGGAAGACCGGGUGCUAUAGGCU
This 119-nucleotide ribosomal RNA is filed under the name Pteropus alecto (black flying fox). The record is from RNAcentral. Lineage: Eukaryota; Metazoa; Chordata; Mammalia; Chiroptera; Pteropodidae.